GCAGUAGCCGCGGGAAUACGGAGGAUCCAAGCGUUAUCCGGAAUCAUUGGGUUUAAAGGGUCCGUAGGCGGUCUUGUAAGUCAGUGGUGAAAGCCCAUCGCUCAACGGUGGAACGGCCAUUGAUACUGCAGGACUUGAAUUAUUUGGAAGUAACUAGAAUAUGUAGUGUAGCGGUGAAAUGCUUAGAGAUUACAUGGAAUACCAAUUGCGAAGUCAGGUUACUACCAAUUGAUUGACGCUGAUGGACGAAAGCGUGGGUAGCGAACAGGAUUAGAUACCCCGGUAGUCCCUGUCUCUUAUAC
RNAcentral lists this ribosomal RNA (302 nucleotides) under uncultured bacterium. RNAcentral's name for it is "partial 16S ribosomal RNA". It matches the Rfam family "Bacterial small subunit ribosomal RNA", at positions 508 to 807 of the family's 1533-position model. The record is from RNAcentral.